This is a long non-coding RNA of Xenopus tropicalis (tropical clawed frog), 1292 nucleotides long. RefSeq lists it as uncharacterized. NCBI's taxonomy places the organism in Eukaryota, Metazoa, Chordata, Amphibia, Anura, Pipidae. The transcript is spliced from 4 exons. The record is from RefSeq and is a predicted model, not a curated record.
UCUAAGUGAGCACAUUUGCCAGAUUUGAUAUAUAAGUGCAAUGAGAGGGACAUAGGGCUGAGAAGUGCCCCCUCCCAGCCAUGAACUUGGACACAAAGCACAGAAGCAGAUGGUCCAGGCAUUGAGCAAUUGAGCAAGUUUCCAUGACAACCAAUAUUUUAUUUCUGGCUCCCUCGCACCAGGCCUUGGUGGAAGGUCCCCGGGGUCCAACUGGCUGGCUUAAGUCUUGGAUUGUAACUCCAUUGUGUUCUUUCCCCUGCGCUACUGACUGACAGUGACACAAUGUACGGGUCCCUAAAGGGGAGACCAUUGAUCUCGCUGCGAGUGACGGUGACGCACGUUGGGUUAUUAAGAUGAAGAAUCCCAGUAACUGAAUGUGACAGAACUGGAACCUUCAGUAGGACAAAGGUGGGUGCGUUUCAUUGUUGCGCAGUCCCAACCCCACAGCUAGAAGAGUUCAUUCCCCAGCAGAGACAUCUCUAUUAUGGUCACAGAACUUCAGGGUGAAAGGGGGAGUCCAUGUGUCUAUAUAUAAGGACCCCCCACAUUCCUAGGAGGCGCCUUCCUUAAACUGACGGUGAAAGUAAUAGAUGUAGGAAUGUUAUUUUAUGCAAUCAUUCCUUUCCCCCUUGCUUAUUGUUUGCAUUUCACUUGGUUCUGUUACCCUUUAAUGCUGUUUAGGGCUGUUGACUGUUUGUUUCUAGGUUCCUCUUUGUUGAAUGAGGGAUGGGACUUAAAGGGUUAAACGGCAACCUCCCAGUGCACUGAUUGGCUCCAGCCUAGAGAUGGGUCGGAACCACAGGAACAGAUGGAAGGUUGAAAGGAAAGCAGCCAGACCCGACCUGUGGUCUGCAGACCAACAGAACCACUGACCCAGACUGUGCCAAUCCGUCACAUGACUACCUAAUAGCCACACAGUACCUGCAGAUUCCAGGGCUCGGGAAAGUGAAUGAAUGGAGCAGCGCAGAGGCAACUGCUUGUGACCCAGCUGUUCCAGUGGAGGCAAAUCCCGUGGUCUGUCUGAUUCCUUAAAACACAAUAUUAGUGGGCAGGGCAGUAUAUGUGUAUUUCUAAGGGAUUAGGCCCAGGAUUAAGCUCCAGCCUCUUCCAUUCUCUAUUAAUUUAGGACACAACAAUAUUUAGCUUUAGAGGAAUGACAUGUAACCCUUCCAGGGCUUUCCGUAGUGGUCCAGAGCCUCUGAAUGGUGCUAUACCCCUGGCCCUAUCUGUCCUUACUAUUCACUCUAUGCCACAGUCAUAGGCUAUAUAUUAGGUACCUAUCUAGUGCUACC